RNAcentral lists this ribosomal RNA (713 nucleotides) under uncultured bacterium. RNAcentral describes it as "bacterial SSU rRNA". It matches the Rfam family "Bacterial small subunit ribosomal RNA", at positions 1 to 716 of the family's 1533-position model. The record is from RNAcentral.
CCCUUAGAGUUUGAUCCUGGCUCAGGAUGAACGCUAGCGGCAGGCCUAACACAUGCAAGUCGAGGGGUAUAGGGAGCUUGCUCCCUUGAGACCGGCGCACGGGUGCGUAACGCGUAUGCAACCUACCUAUUGCAGGGGAAUAGCCCAGGGAAACUUGGAUUAAUGCCCCAUAGUCCAUAUUGAGAGCAUUUGAGAUAUGGUAAAGAUUCAUCGGCAAUAGAUGGGCAUGCGUCCUAUUAGCUAGUUGGUGCGGUAACGGCGCACCAAGGCUACGAUAGGUAGGGGCCCUGAGAGGGGGAUCCCCCACACUGGUACUGAGACACGGACCAGACUCCUACGGGAGGCAGCAGUGAGGAAUAUUGGACAAUGGGCGGGAGCCUGAUCCAGCCAUGCCGCGUGCAGGAAGACUGCCCUAUGGGUUGUAAACUGCUUUUUUACGGGAAGAAACACCCCCACGUGUGGGGGCUUGACGGUACCGUACGAAUAAGGAUCGGCUAACUCCGUGCCAGCAGCCGCGGUAAUACGGAGGAUCCGAGCGUUAUCCGGAAUCAUUGGGUUUAAAGGGUCCGUAGCGGGCGUCUAAGUCAGUGGUGAAAUCCCGCAGCUCAACUGUGGAAUUGCCAUUGAUACUGGUCGCCUUGAAUCGUUGUGAAGUGGCUAGAAUAUGUAGUGUAGCGGUGAAAUGCUUAGAUAUUACAUAGAAUACCGAUUGC